UUAAGCGACUAAGCGUACACGGUGGAUGCCCUGGCAGUCAGAGGCGAUGAAGGACGUGCUAAUCUGCGAUAAGCGUCGGUAAGGUGAUAUGAACCGUUAUAACCGGCGAUUUCCGAAUGGGGAAACCCAGUGUGAUUCGUCACACUAUCAUUAACUGAAUCCAUAGGUUAAUGAGGCGAACCGGGGGAACUGAAACAUCUAAGUACCCCGAGGAAAAGAAAUCAACCGAGAUUCCCCCAGUAGCGGCGAGCGAACGGGGAGNNNNNNNNNNNAGCCCAGAGCCUGAAUCAGUGUGUGUGUUAGUGGAAGCGUCUGGAAAGGCGCGCGAUACAGGGUGACAGCCCCGUACACAAAAAUGCACAUAUUGUGAGCUCGAUGAGUAGGGCGGGACACGUGGUAUCCUGUCUGAAUAUGGGGGGACCAUCCUCCAAGGCUAAAUACUCCUGACUGACCGAUAGUGAACCAGUACCGUGAGGGAAAGGCGAAAAGAACCCCGGCGAGGGGAGUGAAAAAGAACCUGAAACCGUGUACGUACAAGCAGUGGGAGCACGCUUAGGCGUGUGACUGCGUACCUUUUGUAUAAUGGGUCAGCGACUUAUAUUCUGUAGCAAGGUUAACCGAAUAGGGGAGCCGAAGGGAAACCGAGUCUUAACUGGGCGUUAAGUUGCAGGGUAUAGACCCGAAACCCGGUGAUCUAGCCAUGGGCAGGUUGAAGGUUGGGUAACACUAACUGGAGGACCGAACCGACUAAUGUUGAAAAAUUAGCGGAUGACUUGUGGCUGGGGGUGAAAGGCCAAUCAAACCGGGAGAUAGCUGGUUCUCCCCGAAAGCUAUUUAGGUAGCGCCUCGUGAAUUCAUCUCCGGGGGUAGAGCACUGUUUCGGCAAGGGGGUCAUCCCGACUUACCAACCCGAUGCAAACUGCGAAUACCGGAGAAUGUUAUCACGGGAGACACACGGCGGGUGCUAACGUCCGUCGUGAAGAGGGAAACAACCCAGACCGCCAGCUAAGGUCCCAAAGUCAUGGUUAAGUGGGAAACGAUGUGGGAAGGCCCAGACAGCCAGGAUGUUGGCUUAGAAGCAGCCAUCAUUUAAAGAAAGCGUAAUAGCUCACUGGUCGAGUCGGCCUGCGCGGAAGAUGUAACGGGGCUAAACCAUGCACCGAAGCUGCGGCAGCGACGCUUAUGCGUUGUUGGGUAGGGGAGCGUUCUGUAAGCCUGCGAAGGUGUGCUGUGAGGCAUGCUGGAGGUAUCAGAAGUGCGAAUGCUGACAUAAGUAACGAUAAAGCGGGUGAAAAGCCCGCUCGCCGGAAGACCAAGGGUUCCUGUCCAACGUUAAUCGGGGCAGGGUGAGUCGACCCCUAAGGCGAGGCCGAAAGGCGUAGUCGAUGGGAAACAGGUUAAUAUUCCUGUACUUGGUGUUACUGCGAAGGGGGGACGGAGAAGGCUAUGUUGGCCGGGCGACGGUUGUCCCGGUUUAAGCGUGUAGGCUGGUUUUCCAGGCAAAUCCGGAAAAUCAAGGCUGAGGCGUGAUGACGAGGCACUACGGUGCUGAAGCAACAAAUGCCCUGCUUCCAGGAAAAGCCUCUAAGCAUCAGGUAACAUCAAAUCGUACCCCAAACCGACACAGGUGGUCAGGUAGAGAAUACCAAGGCGCUUGAGAGAACUCGGGUGAAGGAACUAGGCAAAAUGGUGCCGUAACUUCGGGAGAAGGCACGCUGAUAUGUAGGUGAAGUCCCUUGCGGAUGGAGCUGAAAUCAGUCGAAGAUACCAGCUGGCUGCAACUGUUUAUUAAAAACACAGCACUGUGCAAACACGAAAGUGGACGUAUACGGUGUGACGCCUGCCCGGUGCCGGAAGGUUAAUUGAUGGGGUCAGCGCAAGCGAAGCUCUUGAUCGAAGCCCCGGUAAACGGCGGCCGUAACUAUAACGGUCCUAAGGUAGCGAAAUUCCUUGUCGGGUAAGUUCCGACCUGCACGAAUGGCGUAAUGAUGGCCAGGCUGUCUCCACCCGAGACUCAGUGAAAUUGAACUCGCUGUGAAGAUGCAGUGUACCCGCGGCAAGACGGAAAGACCCCGUGAACCUUUACUAUAGCUUGACACUGAACAUUGAGCCUUGAUGUGUAGGAUAGGUGGGAGGCUUUGAAGUGUGGACGCCAGUCUGCAUGGAGCCGGCCUUGAAAUACCACCCUUUAAUGUUUGAUGUUCUAACGUGGACCCGUGAUCCGGGUUGCGGACAGUGUCUGGUGGGUAGUUUGACUGGGGCGGUCUCCUCCUAAAGAGUAACGGAGGAGCACGAAGGUUGGCUAAUCCUGGUCGGACAUCAGGAGGUUAGUGCAAUGGCAUAAGCCAGCUUGACUGCGAGCGUGACGGCGCGAGCAGGUGCGAAAGCAGGUCAUAGUGAUCCGGUGGUUCUGAAUGGAAGGGCCAUCGCUCAACGGAUAAAAGGUACUCCGGGGAUAACAGGCUGAUACCGCCCAAGAGUUCAUAUCGACGGCGGUGUUUGGCACCUCGAUGUCGGCUCAUCACAUCCUGGGGCUGAAGUAGGUCCCAAGGGUAUGGCUGUUCGCCAUUUAAAGUGGUACGCGAGCUGGGUUUAGAACGUCGUGAGACAGUUCGGUCCCUAUCUGCCGUGGGCGCUGGAGAACUGAGGGGGGCUGCUCCUAGUACGAGAGGACCGGAGUGGACGCAUCACUGGUGUUCGGGUUGUCAUGCCAAUGGCACUGCCCGGUAGCUAAAUGCGGAAGAGAUAAGUGCUGAAAGCAUCUAAGCACGAAACUUGCCCCGAGAUGAGUUCUCCCUGACCCUUUAAGGGUCCUGAAGGAACGUUGAAGACGACGACGUUGAUAGGCCGGGUGUGUAAGCGCAGCGAUGCGUUGAGCUAACCGGUACUAAUGAACCGUGAGGCUUAACCUU
Molecule: ribosomal RNA, 2912 nt
Filed under: Shigella sonnei
Lineage: Bacteria; Pseudomonadati; Pseudomonadota; Gammaproteobacteria; Enterobacterales; Enterobacteriaceae
Description: bacterial LSU rRNA
Rfam family: Bacterial large subunit ribosomal RNA
Source: RNAcentral